UUUCCUACGGGGGGCUGCAGUGGGGAAUCUUAGACAAUGGGGGAAACCCUGAUCUAGCCAUGCCGCGUGAGCGAUGAAGGCCUUAGGGUUGUAAAGCUCUUUCAGCUGGGAAGAUAAUGACGGUACCAGCAGAAGAAGCCCCGGCUAACUCCGUGCCAGCAGCCGCGGUAAUACGGAGGGGGCUAGCGUUGUUCGGAAUUACUGGGCGUAAAGCGCACGUAGGCGGAUCAGAAAGUCAGAGGUGAAAUCCCAGGGCUCAACCUUGGAACUGCCUUUGAAACUCCUGGUCUUGAGGUCGAGAGAGGUGAGUGGAAUUCCGAGUGUAGAGGUGAAAUUCGUAGAUAUUCGGAGGAACACCAGUGGCGAAGGCGGCUCACUGGCUCGAUACUGACGCUGAGGUGCGAAAGCGUGGGGAGCAAACAGGAUUAGAUACCCGAGUAGUCCU
Molecule: ribosomal RNA, 445 nt
Filed under: uncultured Paracoccaceae bacterium
Lineage: Bacteria; Pseudomonadati; Pseudomonadota; Alphaproteobacteria; Rhodobacterales; Paracoccaceae
Description: bacterial SSU rRNA
Rfam family: Bacterial small subunit ribosomal RNA
Source: RNAcentral